Molecule: ribosomal RNA, 496 nt
Filed under: uncultured beta proteobacterium
Lineage: Bacteria; Pseudomonadati; Pseudomonadota; Betaproteobacteria
Description: bacterial SSU rRNA
Rfam family: Bacterial small subunit ribosomal RNA
Source: RNAcentral
UUCGGUCUGGUGGCGAGUGGCGAACGGGUGAGUAAUGUAUCGGAACGUACCCAGUAGCGGGGGAUAACUACUCGAAAGAGUAGCUAAUACCGCAUACGCCCUUCGGGGGAAAGGGGGGGAUCUUCGGACCUCCCACUAUUGGAGCGGCUGAUAUCGGAUAAGCUAGUUGGUGAGGUAAAGGCUCACCAAGGCGACGAUCCGUAGCUGGUUUGAGAGGACGACCAGCCACACUGGAACUGAGACACGGUCCAGACUCCUACGGGAGGCAGCAGUGGGGAAUUUUGGACAAUGGGGGAAACCCUGAUCCAGCCAUUCCGCGUGUGUGAAGAAGGCCUUCGGGUUGUAAAGCACUUUUGGCGGGAAAGAAACGGCGUCGACUAAUACUCGGCGUAACUGACGGUACCCGCAGAAUAAGCACCGGCUAACUACGUGCCAGCAGCCGCGGUAAUACGUAGGGUGCAAGCGUUAAUCGGAAUUACUGGGCGUAAAGCGUGCG